UUCGCAAUGCCCGAAAGGGUGACGAAGCGACGCCGCGUGUGGGAAGAAGGCCUUCGGGUUGUAAACCGCUGUUGGGAGUUAGGAAGUGUGGGAGUGUUAAUAGCGCUUCCACUUGACUAAAGCUCCAGAGGAAGCCACGGCUAACUCUGUGCCAGCAGCCGCGGUAAUACAGAGGCGGCAAGCGUUGUUCGGAAUUAUUGGGCGUAAAGGGCACGUAGGCGGCUAUAUAAGUCGGUUGUGAAAGCCUUCCGCUCAACGGGAGAACAGCAUCCGAUACUGUAUGUCUUGAGUGUGGGAGGGGAGAGCGGAACUUCUGGUGGAGCGGUGAAAUGCGUAGAUAUCAGAAGGAACGCCGGCGGCGAAAGCGGCUCUCUGGCCCAUAACUGACGCUGAGUGUGCGAAAGCUAGGGGAGCAAACGGGAUUAGAUACCCCGGUAGUCCUAGCCGUAAACGAUGGGCACUAAGUAGAGGGGUUUU
This 477-nucleotide ribosomal RNA is filed under the name uncultured Planctomycetales bacterium. Its description in RNAcentral is "bacterial SSU rRNA". It matches the Rfam family "Bacterial small subunit ribosomal RNA", at positions 365 to 832 of the family's 1533-position model. Lineage: Bacteria; Pseudomonadati; Planctomycetota; Planctomycetia; Planctomycetales. The record is from RNAcentral.